UGAAGGCAUUUUUGAUCCGGAUGACCUGUUCACAGAUCCGAUGUUCUGAUUUGGUGGAGGAGAGGCACUUUUUUUUUUUUUUUUUGAAGACAUGCCAUUAUGUUAGUCAGUAUUGCUCUUCUUUAUCUAUUCUUAAUCUGCUUUAGGGAGCAAGAUUUUGUGUAUCUUCAAACUCUUUUGAGAGACUAGGUGGAUUUUGGUUGAAAAUUUUCAAAAGAAAAUGGUAGCAAUUUGAUUUCUUGCAAGCUCUUUGUUUAUGUAGUUUGUUGGUUUAUCUUUUUGCCAAAACCUCUUACAAGCUAAUGGUUCAGACUAGAAUCAAAUGCUACUAAGCUAAGUGUAUUUCUGUAUUCUUAUGGCUACCUGAUCAUAAAACAUAUCUAAUGUUAUGAGGAGCCCACCACCAGCGGGGUGGGACGAGGGUGGGGUGUCUGGACCGUUGUGAUUGUUUAAUCGAUCAAAUGAUCAAACUGCUUCUUAAUGUAUGGGGUGGGACUAUUUUAGUCUUUCAUAAAUACCACUUAACCAGUAUAGACCUUAAUGUAUAGAAAAAAGUGAUCUUUUUCCUUCUGCCACCAGUGUGUGCCUGCAACAAUGGAGUGUACAUUUUUAUUGCUUUCCUUAUCACGUAGUUUUGUUCUUGCAGCAAGACUCCCAGUUGGUUUAAAGUUUCGAAGGCAGCCAUAUAUUAAUUAUUGGUGCAAGAGUUUCCAUCAAAGGUAGAAAAAAAUUGCUCUUUCUUCUCAUCAUAUCAGAUUUGGUUUUCGUCUAAGUUGACCUCAUUUAGAGAAAGCUUUCUCAAAGGACCGCAGUUGAUGAGUUAACCAAGCUUGAAAGUUGCAACCAUGUUUAGAGAGAAUACUAAUAUAUAAUCUUGUCUCUUUAAAACUAAUAUAUAUGAGUAUUUUGUAAAUGAGGCAUUCAGGUAAUAUGUCUCCUUGUGGUCACAUAAUUCUUCUUAUUAAUGUGCAAACAGCCAAACAUACCUUAAAUACCUGAUUUUGUAGUUUGAUUUUGCUGCAAAACUUGAUAAUCAGCUCUUUGUCACGCUUCUGCAAUUUCCAUCCAGCAUUCUUUCCUUAUGAUGCUGAGUAAAUUUAGUCCUCAAUCAUCGAAAGGAAACAUCAGGUGCACAGGUACCACAUAGUGUUACGAAAACUGGUGUACCCUUAGGCCUUAGCGCUUAUACUAAGCUCAAGUAUUAUACUAAAUGCAACAACAUAUUGAGGACAACACUCAUUUCAUAAAGGUGUGCUUAUACUAAAGAGCUAUGGCUCAAAUAUUACAACUUCUUCUUGUCUCUUAAUGUUGUGGAAUCGAAUCCACUAUAUAGAGUCAACUGCUUGAGCAGUUUAGCCAUUUUGAGCAAUGUUUCUCAACAAUGGUGAGAUUCAUUCUCUCAGCUACACCAUUGUCUUUUCAUGUCUGAUCUCAUUGCUUGAAUAUUACUGCUCAAAUUCCAUUGUCAGUGUAGAGACGCUUUAGCUUUCUACCUGUCUCCCUUUUCACCAUAGCAUGAAACUUCUGGAAUACUUGAAACACCGGAUGUUUGGUUUUCAAGAUAUAAACCCACAACUUUCGUGAAGUAUAGUCUAAAUUGACCUCAUUUAGAGAAAACUUUCUCAAAGAACGUUAUUCCUUUUUAAAAUAUUGUCACUUCAUGAUAACCAUAAAGAGUGGACUGAUUCAAGGAUGACAUUAAUAAUAUUUGUUAUUAUUCCCUUUUAUGAUCCAGUAGGAGUCAAUUUUUCCUUUGUGAAGCUGUACUUGUACUAAGUGUAAAGUCACAAUAUUCAUCACAUGAAGGAGUAAGUGAGCUCCGAGAUGUUGAAUCUGUUGCACGAGGAAGAGGAAAGAAAGGGAAAAGAAGAGUAUAUAAAACGUUGUGUGUAUAUCAUAACGCCAACCUCAAAAAUAGAGUCGACUGCUUCAAGGAUUGACAACGAUUGAUUUAUCUGAUAACAAACCUUCAAAUCCACAUGUCUACAAAAAUAUAUUGGAAUCUUGAUACUGCCUGGUAAUUUUUUGACUUAAAUAAACAACACCAAUGAAAUGAUAGUUAGAGAUAAUCUAUCCUCACCAAUAGAUUAAUAAACUUUAGAGAGAAAUUAACUGCAUCACCAAUCUAAUAAAAAUUAUUAUUUCACUCUCUUUGUAAGGCUCCUUCGUGCUAGCUUCCAAUUUCUGAGUUCCACAGGAUUUUCCGAUCAAAUUUGUAGGCUUUUACUUCUUUUAAAUGUCAAUGGCUAGGCAUUCUUUCAUGAAAAGUAGACUGACUCAAAUUCUUCAUAUACAUCAAACGAUCCAUGAAACUGUAACCAUUUCACUUGUUGAUUGCAGGUUAAGUCUCCUCGGAUGACAACUCAAUAGCAAAGCAGUCACAAGCAUUGAAAACUCCUAAAGUGAGGCACUAUAUAUCUAUAUCUAAAAUGACAACUUGGCCUGGGGUAUAACAACUGUGUGUGCCCUCUGAACUUAUUUUUUUUUGUCAAAAUGGAUGGAAACUUGAGACCAUGAGACCGAGUUUGAUAGAAAUUUGUUCAACUUACAAAGCCAUGCCAAAUCUAAAUUGUGGCAAAGCAAAUCUAUUUUUGAGUGCUUUAGCUGUCUUGACUCUAUUGCAACUUUCAGCUCAAGAAUCAUAAAUCCCGUAUAUAUUCUAGCGAAUACCAAAUUUGGAGCAUCAAUCUUCCUUGUGCCACCUGAAUCGUCCUUAAUCUUCAAGAGAUUUAGGAAAUUGAGAUGUAGAAAUAAGGUGCUCGAGAUUCCAUCACAUGUCCACAUUCAGUAACAUCCAAAUUGUCUGGGGAAGAACUAGAAUAAUACAAGUGUUCAAGAUUGAUGCUUUAACACCCUGGUUUCUUGUUGUACAUAUGAAAACUGACCUGAUCUUUUGAAGAUUUAGCAGCUCAAUCUUUUUCAACCUUCUAUAACAAUGCUCAAGUGUGAGUUAGUGAUUGACCUCCAUCACCUGACAAAAAAGUAAUAGCAUCACAAGAAAAGAUCGCGUUGAAGUUGGUUAUAAGCGAAUUUCGUCCUCUGAAUAGAUAGCUAAAUAAUCAUUUGGCAAAGGUAGUUCUUAAAUGUUCACUUCUUUUCCCUUCUAUCUUUGUCUACAUUCUUUGUUUCCGGGCAGGGGGUGAAGGACAUAAGAGAAGAUUUUUCCUAUAGGUAAGGAAGAGGCGAAAAAGGAGCAUUAGUCACUAAGCCCAUGGACGAAGACAAUGAUAUCAGUUCCAUUUUUGAUGUUGGGAAAGCACCAACUGCUCAUAGUGGAAUGUCCAGAUAUAUAUGCAGCUGCAGGGGCAACUCUUGCUUAGUCACCUCCCUUUGCCCCCUCAGCUAAACUCCCAUUGACGAUGAAGGCACUUUUAAUAUGCAUGACUUGUUCACAGAUCAGAUGUUCUGAUUUGAUGGAGGAGAAGCUGUUAAGUUUGAUAUUAGUUGCUCACAACCAGAUAGGCUGUUAAUAUUGAUACUGCACUUGGUUUUUUGAAGAUCUGUUUAUCAAUUAAAUGAUCAAAAUGGUCCUUAAUGUAUGGGGUUGGACUAUUUUAGUCAUUUAUAUAUACCUCGUAAUCGAAAUAUGUGUAGAAAAAGUGACCUUUUUCCUCCCGCCACCACCUUUAAUAUAUCAUUUUUUCAUAUAUUAAGGACUAUUUUGAUAUGAUAUAUAUGAACUAAAAGGAUCACUUUUCUGUACAUUAAGGACUAUUUCUGUUUAAACUCCCCCUUCUGACAUGUUAUGUGAACUCCCUGUCUUGCAAAAGUAAUAGCCAAUGUGGUUUUUAGUUGUUGCAGCAAAUAGAUUUCAUGUAAUACAUGUCAGAGUUCACAUUGAAAACAAAACACCAAGAGAUUGUCUCCUUGCAAAUGUCUAUUUGUUCAAUUGUGUAAAUAAAUUGCAAACAUGAUCCAAUUAAUAAAGGGGAAAUUGUAUAAAAUAACAAACUAUUAAUUCAAAAUAAAUGUUAUAACCACAGUUUCAAUUAAUUCUGAUCCGUAGCAAACACUUUGUCAUUUCCCUCUCUCUCCUGCAUCUCACUCGCCACUCUCCUUGAAUCUCGCUCGCCACACUCCCUCACCUCUCUCACUUUAUACAAACACAAAUGUAUAAAUUGUGUUUGUAUAAAGCGAAAGAGAACUGUAUAUGCAAAUACAAAUACAUAUUUCUUCGUCCUACACACUUAUAAUUAUACAAAUACAAAUUUUCUCCUGCUCAAUUCUCUUUUUGUUUUUCUCUCUUUUUCACUUUAUACAAACACAAAUUACAUAUACAUAUACAAACACAAUUUUCAUAGACACAAACAUCCAUUUAAUACGAAUCUCCGUGAUUUAUACAAAUCGUUGCGAUUUAUACAAAUAAGAUGCUUACGAUUUUAUGCAAUCAGAUGUUGCUUGUGAUUUUAUUCAAAUUUGAUGCUCCAUAGCAAACAUGCAAAUAGAAAAAGUGUAGCUAUAAAACGUUAAUAUGAUUUUUUAUGUUUUCUAAACCUAAUAUUUACUCAAUUAAUGUCUUUGAAAUUGGUAACUAAAUAAUUUUGUGAGAUAAAAUAUAAUUUCCUUGAAGAAGAUAAAGUUUUAAAAAUAUGUCUUCCAUCUUUUGACAAUUCUUUUGAUUUCAAUUUUUCAUUUAAUAUAUUUUAGAAUAGAAACAUAUCUUUAUUUUUAAAUUAAAAAUUUUAAUUUUUUUUUUCUAAAAUUACUCACUCCGUUUAAAAAAUAAUGACCUAGUUUGACUUGGAACGGAAUUUAAAAAAAGAAAGAAAGUUUUUAAUUUUGUGGUUCUAAAUUAAAGUUAUGUCAAACGUACCAAAAUGUUCUUUAAUCUUGUGGCCUGAAACAUAUCACGUGAAAGAUUGAAGUUAAAGUAUUGACAAAAAAGGAAAAAAGAUUAUUCUUUUUUAAACGGACUAAAAAGGAAAUCUGAUCAUUUUUUUUGAAAUAGAAUACUUGUUAGGUUAAAAUUAGACAAACAAAUAGUGAAUGAGUAAUUGUAAGACCAAACCAUUGUCUUCUUCCUCUUCCUUCAACUUUCUCACAGUCUCCAUCUUUGAGCUUAACCCAUCUCCCAAAUUACUCUUCUUUACCCCUCACCGACCAACAAUGCACUCUUACAGACUCAAAACCCAGAACAAUUCGCUUUCGUUUAAGCGAAUUGUGCAGACAAGGCCAACCCCAUCUACUGUUCGAUACAAUUCCUCAACCAACAACUGUGCUUUGGAACACAAUAAUAAUUGGGUUUAUCUGUAAUAACAUGCCCCAUGAAGCCAUUUCAUUCUAUUCUCGAUUGAAUCAUGUGGGUUCAUCCAUAUGUGAUCAGUAUACUUAUUCCUCUGUUCUCAAGGCUUGCGCGGAGACCAAACGGAUUCUUGUAGGUAAAGCUGUGCAUUGCCACAUUCUGCGUUCUGGGAUUCAUCCUAGUAGGAUUGUUAGUAAUUCUUUGUUGAAUAUGUACUCUGCUACUUGUCUUACAUUGGAUAAUGGUUCUGAUUGUGAUUUAGUUGAAAGGGUGUUUAGAACUAUGCGUAAAAGAAAUGUUGUUGGGUGGAAUACUAUUUUUUCAUGGUAUGUGAAAAGGAAGAGGUUUUCGGAAGCAGUGAGGUGUUUUGUUAUGAUGAUGAGAUUAGGUAUUAAGCCAACUGUUGUUAGUUUUAUUAAUGUUUUUCCUGCUGUAUCAGAAAUAGGGGAUGUUAGAGUUGCUUAUGUUCUUUAUGGGUUGCUUGUGAAAUUGGGUAAUGCAUAUGUAAAUGACUUGUUUGUUGUUAGUGCUGCCAUUGUUAUGUAUGCUGAGCUUGGUUGCAUUGAUCUGGCAACCAGAAUAUUUGAGAAUACUUGUGAAAGAAAUAUAGAGAUCUGGAACUCUAUGAUUAGCGGGUACAUUCAGAACAAUUUUCCUUUAAAAGCUGUUGAUCUCUUUCUUGAAGCUGUAGAAGCAGAGGAUGCUGUUACUACUGAUGAUGUGACAUUUGUAUCCGCUCUUAUGGCAACUUCACAGUUGCAGCAUUUGGAGUUUGCCCAAUAGCUACAUGCAUGUCUGAUAAAGAAAUGCAAGGAUUCACAGGUUAUUUCGCUUAAUGCUAUGAUAGCCACAUACUCUAGGUGUAACCAUGUUCUACUCUUUGCAGCAGAAUGGUUUAGAACCAGAUGCUGUUACCUUUGUAGCAGUCCUGUCUACUUGCAGCUACACCGGAUUGGCCGGUACAGGCCUUUAAAUAUUUGAGCUGAUGGGUGAAGAAUAUGGGAUUCAGCCAUCAGCAGAGCACUAUGCUUGUGUGGUUGACAUGUUAGGAGAGUUGGACGGUUGGAUGAAGCUCAUAAUUUUUCUAAACACUUGGGUGUUGAGGGUAAUGUCUUGGGAAGAUGGGGAUCACUCCUUGCAGCCUGCAGAGUGCAUAUAAAUUUUGAAUUGGGGUAAAUUGUUUCCAGUAAGCUGCUUGAAUUAGAGGGGAGUGAUGGAAUUUAUGGUUAUCAUAUUCUGCUUUCAAAUAUAUAUGCAGAGGUAGGAAACUGGCAGUCUGUCAAUAACGUCAGAAGAGGAAUGCUCAAAAUGAGAUUGUCAAAGGAGGUUGGGUGUAGUUGGAUUGAUACUUCUGGAUAUCCACACUGUUUUGUAUCUAAAGAUAAGAAGCUUCCUCAGUACUGCAUGAUAUAUGAUAUGUUGGGAUAUUUAACCAUCAAUAUGUAGGAUGCUGGCUAUAAGCCUAAACUUGAACUAAUAGAAGAGUGGAUCUAUGGGCUAGAAGAAUAAAAAACUAUUAGUUCUCCCACUAUGUUGUUGUUCUCGGACUAUGUAGCUUUGUAUUCAUGAUAUUUUUGGACAGGAUUUUGCUAGAGUUAAUAUGAUCGUAGUUUAUCAAUGACCAGCUGCCUUUGAAAUUCGAGGUAAUUAAGUUGUGUUUUAGCUUUUUUUAGUUUAGUUUUUUCUUCUGAAUUAUGCUUUUUUACUUUGUAAAGAUACUCAGAAGUAGGAUAUUCAGUUAGUGAAAUAUAUGUAUAAUUCUUUAUUACNNNNNNNNNNNNNNNNNNNNNNNNNNNNNNNNNNNNNNNNNNNNNNNNNUCAAGAAUAUCCAUUUUACCUUUUUGGUGGGAAACGAGGAGUCCCAGAUCGCAAAAGAAGGGUCUUAUCCAAAAUGACAACUUCUAUCAAGCUGUCUGAUUGACUGAAGCACAUGUAAAUUAGGUGACCAGUUCUUUCCUUUGAAUAACUUAUACUUGUCCUGCAGGUCGACUUUUAAACUGUUGUAUUAAGGAUUUUCUUUGAUAUAGUGUUUGCAAGUUCAUGCGUGUUUUUAUAUUGGAGCCAAAUGGCAUUAAUAACACUUGUUAAGGUUGGUCCAGAUAACUAUUAAUAUGUCUGCUAAGGUUGGUUCAAUCAGUGGGAUAUUAUAGUUCAUCUUUCAAUAGCAUGAUUUCACUAUAUAGACCCUUUUGUUGUGUAUUUUUCAUCUUGGCUUAUCAAACCUCUAAGAAGUACUUAGGAAAUCAUUAAGAACCCCUAAUAGUUUAGCAACCUCCUCAAUUUCACAAUCAUUCAAUGCGCUCCUAAAAAGUAGAUUCCAACCGUGUUGACUCCAGGCUUGUUCCACAGUGUCAUUGUUCUGCAUACUCAAUGUAUAUAGAAGAGGGAAUAGGUUUCUAAAACUGUCUUCUUCUAUCUAUCUUUCAUUCAAGAACUCUGUCUUCCGUCCAUCCCCAACACCUAAUACAUAUGUUGUUUUUGAAAUGUGGCCAUAGUCUUCUAAUGGUCUUCCAAACACUGCAUCCAAAUGUGCCCAUCACCUCUUCAGUUGUCCAUUGGUUAAAUAAACCAUACUUUCCUGAUAUAAAUCUCUUCUAUAAGGCUCUAUAUUCUAUACAGAAUGUCCAUAGCCACUUUUGGAGUAAACUACUGUUUUAGAGACUUAGGUCCUUCAACCCUAGCCUCCUUGGUUUUUGCUAAGUGUGAGAGUAUCCCACUUCACCAAGUUGUAGCCUUCCCUUUCCUUAUUGCCUUGCCAAAGAAAAGAUAUCCUGAGCCUAUUUAUUUUCUUCUCAAUGUUCUUGGGGACUGGAAAUAAACUCAUCAUAUAAGUAGGUGAUUCAUCUAAUACUGUCUUGAUGAGGGUCACCCUACCACCUAUGGACAAAUACUAGCUUCUUCACCGGGCUUAUUUUCUCCCACAUCUCUCCAACACCACAUUGCACACUUCCAGCUCUUUGUUCUUAGCACCCAAAGGUAGUUCCAGAUAUUUUGUUGGUUGUGCAUCUACCUAGCAACUCAAUGUCUCAACUAGCCCAAGAAAAUUGUCAACUUGCUUGAUAUGGAGGAGAUGACUCUUCAGCCAAUUGACAUGGAGGCUUGAAAUGCUCUGCUAAAUAGUGAGUAUUGCCCUUAUGUGUCUAAUUUGUUCCUCCUUUGCCUCAUAGAAUAUAAGAGCAUCAUCAACAUAGAAUAAAUGUGUUAUCUGCAGCUCCUUCCCUCUCCCAGAAAGUGCACUAAAUCCUCUCCAACCCAUUACUCUUUGCCUUCCGGAACAUGUGAUUCAACCCCUUCAUGGCUAUUAAGAAUAGGAAUAGGGACAUAGGAUCUCCCUGUCUAAGACCUCUCUGAGAUUGGAAGAAUCCUUCAGUGUUUCCAUUUAUGAGGAGGGAAAACUUCACACUUGAAAUGCAGUUAUUGAUCCAGCCAAUCCACUUGCUACCAAAUCCCAUGUCCUUUAGUUUUUUUAGAAGGAAAUUCCAAUUAACAUGUUCAUAGGUUUUCUCAAUGUCUAGCUUGCAUAGAAUCCUAGGUUUUUUCUGCCUUACCUUGGAGUUGACCAUUUCAUUAGCCAACAAUGCUGCAUCCAUUAUUUGCCUACAUCUUAAAAAAGACAUUUGGUGUUCAUCAACCAAUUUCACUAUCACUGUCUUCAUUCUCUCAGAUAGCAACUUGGAGUUGAUUUUAUUGACUACUCCUAUCAAACUGAUAGGUCUAAAGUCUUUUAGCUCAAUUGCAUCAGGUUUCUUUGGGAUUGAAGGGAUCAAUAUAGCAUUAAAUGAUUUCUCAAACGCACUCCUUUGAUGGAAAUUUUUUGUGCUCAACAUUCAGUUCUCUUUCAAAAUAUCCCAACAUUUCUUAAAGAAAUCCAUAGUGAAGUCAUCAGGGUCUGGUGCUUUGUCCCCGUCAUACUGGUUGAUGAUCAAUAACACUUCCUCUUCUGUAAAUGGUCUUUGUAACCAUUCAUUUUCUUCUAUAGACUGUUGGACAUCCUACAAAAUGAAAAGAGGGUCUCUAGGAUUCAAGUUCCGAGUAGAGUCUGGCAUUUAAUUCAUAUGACAUGGCUAUAAAAUAGGUUGCUUUAGUGGUUCCAAAUCCCACAAUGUUAUGUGUUGAGCCAUCAACUACCAUUACUUGAGAGGGUUCUUUGUGUGAUCGAAAGGUAGAAAAUAUAUUAGGAUUACGUGUCAUGUAAUUACUAGUACCUGUAUCAAUCACCCAGUUGUUCAAAGAGGAGAUCGCAUAUGCUUUUCUUGAAUCAACAAGGGUAGUAACUGAAGUGAAUUCUUUAAGGGAUUCUUGAUACUAAGAGGACUCGCAAACUCAUUCGCCGAAACCAAAAUUGUCUUACCCUAAUAAUUUAUAUUUAUUUGAGUUAUAGUUUCAACUCAAAAUAUUAAUAUAGGAGAAGCUAACAAACACAAACAAUACCAACAUAUACAAUCCAGUACUGAAAAGGCAAUUUGUUAAUAUCAAGACAUGCAAAAUUUUAUGGCAAAAUUUUAUGGGAUUAAGUCCAUAUAAAAUUUGAACGAAUUUAUAAAUUCAAGACAUAUUGACCUAAGUGAACAUUUUGGGUUAAUACAGCCAAAUUAAUUAUUUAAGUCAAGAUUGCAUGACUUAAGUCAAACCCAACUACAUUGGGCUAGGUUGGGCUUCUACAAAAUGGUCCACCCACAUGUUUUAAGACCAAGGGUCCAUUAGGAUUACUUGGAGACUACCGUAAAACCUUUCAUUCAUGCCUAUAUAAAAUAAAAAGGCUACAUAUUCUCUUUGGAGGCAUCUUGAAAAUUCUAUAACAUCUUGGCAGAUUCUAAGAUGGGAUUGGACAAAGACAAGAGAGUGCUCAACUGGAACAACGGCCAACAAAGACCAAUUACUUAGAUAACGAUUCUUCCCCUUCUCCUUUAAGGCUUUAAGGCGAACUGUAUGGAUGUAGGAAAGAAAGACGUCCUCACCUUCUCUAGUGUUAGUGAGAGCAAUUUGAGUAUCCUUCAUGCACCUCCUUUCGUAGAUAGAAUCUUAAUGAGUGGAAACAAGCAACCUUACUAAGAAAGGUGCUUUUUGAGUAAGGCCCACUUUCAAGCCAACCCUUGGUAUAGGUUGGGAACUUGAGCGCAUGAUUGGUCCAUUGAAGAUUGUACAAGCCCAACGCAGGCAUGCAUACACUUAUAUCAUGAUCAUGUCAAUGCCAUCAACAAGCCAAAUAUCAUUUAUUUGUUCUAUUAAGUACUUCUUUCACGUCAUUAGCUUUAAAAAAUUGUCUCCCUUUACUGGUUCACCUCGAUGAAAAACUUAAGAAUUGCCUAGCUUCAGAAGGUCAUCAAUAAUAUUUGAUUCCAAGAAAUUAGCAACCAAUUCACCCAAAAAAAUAAUUGUAGUCGAUAGUCAAAUACCAGAUUUAUUUGACAUCAAGAACAAGCAUCCACAAAAAACUAUUAAUUCAAUAUUGAGCAAAACUCCGCAAAUCACGACAACACCAAACUGAAACAAGAUCUAAAUCUCUGAAGGAGAGACUAGCAUACUAGAACAUUAAUUGUCCCGAACAACAUGUUUUCGCCCUAGUCUAUUUCCAUUAUUAUGUAUUGCCAGCUUGGAAAGGGAUCUUCACGUGAUAUUCAAUUAGAGGAAAUACGUGUAAGCACCGUUUGUCUUAGCAACAAGUUACUCAAAAAUAUCUCUAGAACUAAAGUUUUUAUGAAGACCAAAUACACCUAUGAGAUAUAUGAAGAUGUACUCUAUCCACCUAAAAAUAUAAUAAGAUAUGAGAUGUUUAGAAGCACACCAACGUGGUGAUUGAGAAAUAAGAAAUUUUGAAAUUCCAUUUUAGUAAAAAUGUAAGUAGUGCAAUCAAAUACAAGAAAUGAUAUAAACAUCAAUUCAGAUUAUUAAUGUCGUCUUCAAGAACUGUACUGGACACUGACCUGUGUUCCUGUUCUGUCCAAGAAGCCCCUUUUCGCCAUUCUACAUCUACAAAAAAUGAUAUAAACAUCAAUUCAAAGUAUUAACUCUGGUUUUGCAUUUCAGGAUAAUUAGAUAAUGUACAUAUCCAGACUCGAUGAUAUUGGUAUCUUCAAUUAAUACAUUACAAUGAUCCUUAAUAACAUCCGUCAAUUUCCCAAGAAGUGCUUUUGCCACUUCCUCCAAUAGAUUGUUGUUAUCCUUGUUGAUCGCAAAAGUAUUCUCAAAGAUUUUAUUCUCCUCCUUAGUCCAGAAGGAGUUAUUGCAUGUUCGAUCAGUGUUCAUUUUCUUUUAGAUCUACAAGGUUAGCUCAAACAUGAAAAAGGUAAGCUCUUCAAGAGGAUUCAAAAAACGGAUAAGUGUCAAUAUAUAACCAAAAUUUAUCAUAACUAUCGGGCAUCUAAAAUAAGAUUUUUUGUAACCCCUGACACUUAGAAAUCAGAAACAAUCUCAACAACACACAAUCUUCUAAAUCAGUUAUGGAUACUAAGAGAGACUAUUUCUGACACACACUUGGCUCAAGUUACUUUUCUUAGUAUCCAUAACUGAUUUAAAAGAAUGUGUGUUGCCGCGAUUGUUUUUGAUUACUAAGUGAUAGAGGUUACAAAAAAUCUUAUUUUAGAUGCCCGAUAUUUAUGGUAGUUUUUGGUUAUAUAUUGACACUCCUCCGUUUUCUUAAUCCUCUUGAAGAGCUUUAUCUUUUUCAUGUUAAAGCUUUCGUUGUUGAUCUAAAAGAAAAUGAACACCGAUCGGACAUGCAAUAACUCCUUCUAGACUAAGGAGGAGGAUAAAAUCUUUGAGAAUACUCUUGCGAUCAACGAAGAUAACAACAAUCUAUUGGAGGAAAUGGCAAAAGCACUUCUUGGGAAAUUGACGGAUGAUAUUAAGGAUCACUAUAAUAUCUUAAUUGAAGAUACCAAUGCCAUCGAGUCUGGAUAUGUCCCAUUACCUAAUUAUUCUGAAAUGCAAAACCAGAAUUCAAAAGCAUAUGUAGAAUGGUGAAAUGGGGCUUCUUGGACCAAAUAGGAACACAUGUCAGUUUGCAGUACAGUUCUUGAGGACGACAUUAAUAAUCUGAAUUGAUGUUCAUAUCAUUUCUUGUAUUUGAUUAGACGUCUUACAUUUUUACUAAAACGGAAUUUCAAAAUUUCUUAUUUUUCAAUGACCACGUUGGUGUGCUUCUAAACAUCUCAUAUAUUAUUAUAUUUCUAGGUGGAUAAAGUACAUCUUCAUAUAUUUCAUAGGUGUAUUUGGUCUUAACUGCAUCACCAAUAUAAUACAAAGUAUUAAUUCCAACUUCUGAGUUCCACAAUAUUUUCAGAUUAAAUAUGUAGGUUUUUACUUUUUAAAAUUGUCAAUGGUUAGGCUUGCUUUCAUGAGAAGUGGAUGAGUAUUUGUAAGAUAAUAAUUUUGAAGUGGAUGAGUAUUUGUAAGACCAAACCAUUGUCUCACAGGCUCCAUCUUUGAGUUUAACCCAUCUCCCAAAUUAAUCUUCCCUACUCCUCACCGACCAACAAUGCACUUUCACAGAGCCAAAACCCAGAACAAUUCGCUUUCGUUUAACCCCAUCUCGCCCGCCAACUGUUCGAUACAAUUCCUCAACCAACAAUUGUCCUUUUGGAACACAAUUAUCAUUGGGUUUAUCUGUAAUAACAUGCCCCAUGAAGCAAUUUCAUUCUAUUUCGAUUGAAACAUGUGGGUUCAUCCGUAUGUGAUCAGUAUACUUAUUCCUCUGUUAUCAAGGCUUGCGCGGAGACCAAACGGAUUCUUGUAGGUAAUGCUGUGCAUUGCCACAUUCUGAGUUCUGGGAUUCGUCCUAGUAGGAUUGUUAGUAAUUCUUUGUUGAAUAUGUACUCUGCUACUUGUCUUACAUUGGAUAAUGGUUCUGAUUGUGAUUUUGUUGAAAGGGUGUUUAGAACUAUGCGUAAAAGAAUGUUGUUGGGUGGAAUACUAUUUUUUCUUGGUAUAUGAAAAGGAAGAGGUUUUCGGAAGCAGUGAGGUGCUUUGUUAUGAUGAUGAGAUUAGGCAUUAAGCCAACUGUUGUUAAUUUUACUAAUGUUUUUCCUGCUGUAUCAGAAACAGGGGAUGUUAGAGUUACUGAUUUUCUUAAUGGAUUGCUUGUGAAAUUGGGUAAUGCAUAUGUAAAUGACCUGUUUGUUGUUAGUGCUGCUAUUGUUAUGUAAGCUGAGCUUGGCUGUGUUGAUUUGGCGACCAGAAUAUUUGAGAAUACUUGUGAAACAAAUACAGAGAUCUGGAACUCAUGAUUAGCGGGUACAUUCAGAACAAUUUUCCUUUUAAAGCAGUUGAUCUCUUUCUUGAAGCUGUAGAAGCAGAGGAUGCUGUUACUACUGAUGAUGUGACAUUUGUAUCUGCUCUUAUGGCAACUUCACAGUUGCAGCAUUUUGAGUUUGCCCAACAGCUACAUGCAUGUCUGAUAAUGAAAUGCAGGGAUUCACAGGUUAUUUCGUUUAAUGCUAUGAUAGCCACAUAUUCUAGGUGUAACCAUAUUGGCAAUUCACUUUAAGUUUUUAAUGGAAUGAAGGAAAGAUAUAUUGUGUCAUGGAACACCGUGGUGUCUGCUUGGUACAGAACGAACUGGAUAACGAGGCUUUGAUGCUUGUAUAUGAGAUGAAAAAGCUAUGGGGUUGCAAUUGAUGAUAUAACAAUUACCAUCCUGCUUUCUGCGGCAUCAAAUCUUAGGGACAGGGAAAUUGGUAAACAGACCCAUGCUUAUCUUCUGAGGCACAAUUUUCAAUUUGAAGGGAUGGAGAGUUACCUGAUAGUCAUGUAUGCCAAAUCUAAUAUGAUUAGAGAAGAACGAGCAAUAUUCCAGUUGAACUUCACAUAUGAUAAAGAUCAAGCCACGUGGAAUGCUGUGAUUGCUGGAAACACUCAGAAUGGAUUAAUUGAACAAUCCUUUGUUGUCUUCAAGGAGAUGCUUGAGCAGAAUGUGAAGCCAAAUGCUGUGACCUUAGCAACAAUCCUCCCAUCAUGCAGCCAGUCAGGAAGUAUAGCAAUAGGCAAGCAGCUACAUUAUUUUGCAAUUCGCUAAUUGUUUGAGGACAAUGUUUAUGUUGUUUCUGCUUUGGUAGACAUGUAUUCAAAAUCAGGAAUCAUUGAUUAUGCUGAAAGUGUUUUCUAAAAUCUCCUGAGAAGAACUCUGUGACAUAUACAAAUAUGAGUUUGGGAUAUGGCCUUCAUGGGAUGCGUAGGAAAGCUCUAAAACUGUUCUACUCUUUGCGGCAGAAUGGUUUAGAACCAGAUGCUGUUACCUUUGUGGCAGUCCUGUCUACUUGCAGCUACACCGGAUUGGUUGAUUAAGGCCUUCAAAUAUUUGAGCUGAUGGGUGAAGAAUAAGGGAUUCAGCCGUCAGCAGAGCACUAUGCUUGUGUGGUUGACAUGUUAGGAAGAGUUGGACGGUUGGAUGAAGCUCAUAAUUUUGCUAAACAGUUGGGUGUUGAGGGUAAUAACUUGGGAAUAUGGGGAUCACUCCUUGCAGCCUGCAGAGUGCAUAGAAAUUUUGAAUUGGGGAAAAUUGUUUCCAGUUAGCUGCUUGAAUUCGAGGGGAAUGAUGGAAUUUCUGGUUAUCAUGUUCUGCUUUCAAAUAUAUAUAUGCAGAGGAAGGAAACUGGCAGUCUGUAGAUAACGUCAGAAGAGGAAUGCGCAAAAUGGGAUUGUCAAAGGAGGUUGGGUGUAGUUGGAUUGAUACUUCUGGAUAUCCACACUGUUUUGUAUCUAAAGAUAAGAAGCUUCCUCAGUACUGCAUGAUAUAUGAUAUGUUGGGAUAUUUAACCAUCAAUAUGUAGGAUGCUGGCUAUAAACCUAAACUUGAACUAAUAGAAGAGUGGAUCUAUGGGCUAGAAGAAUGAAAAGCUAUUAGUUCUCCCACAAUGUUGUUGUUCUCCGACUAUGUACCUUUGUAUUCAUGACAUUUUUGGACAGGAUUUUGCUAGAGUUAAUAUGAUCGUAGUUUAUCAGUGACCAGCUGCCUUUGAAAUUCGAGGUAAUUAAGUUGUGUUUUAGCUUUUUUUAGUUUAGUUUUUUCUUCUGAAUUAUGCUUUUUUAGUUUGUAAAGAUACUCGGAAGUAGGAUAUUCAGUUAGUGAAAUGUAUGCAUAUUUCUUUAUUAAUACAGAGCAAUCAAGAAUAUCCAUUUUACCUUUUUGGUGGGAAAGGAGGAGUCCCAGGUAGCAAAAGAAUGGUCUUAUCCAAGGCGACAACUUCUAUCAUGCUGUCAGAUUGAGUGAAGCACAUUUAAAUUAGGUGACCAGUUCUUUCCUUUGAAUGACUUAUACUUGUUCUGCAGGUUGACUUUUAAACUAUUGUAUUAAGGAUAUUUGAUAUAGUGUUUGCAAGUUCAUGAGUGUUCUUAUAUUGGAGCCAAAUGGCAUUAAUAACACUUGUUAAGGUUGGUCCGGAUAACUAUUAAUAUGUCUGCUAAGGUUGGUUCAGCUAAUCAUAGUAUGUGAAUAUCAAUGGAACUGGCAUAAGUGGAGUUUUUCAUUUCUGAAAAUGGUUCUGAAGCUACAACAAAUCAUAUAGAUAAGAUAAUCUCUGAAAUUUUCCUUAUUAGGCUGUCGGCUUAUAUUAUUGGACAUUGACAAACAAAACUUUCUAUAAAUUAGGUCUAGUUCUAGUGAUUAGUAGGAGGUUUUAUUGAGUAAAUAUGUAUAUAUACUUUUGCCAACCAAUUAAGAUUCGAGUCCAUAUUAUCUUUGCUUGGUUUAUUAGGUUCCACAUGCUUGCUUUCAAGCUGCUUGUGUCAAUUUAAUGUGAAUUAUUGCCCUUCAGUUUUCACAAGGGACAAAGGGCGUAACGGCAUCUUAUUUUGGAGUUUUUGUCUUUUUGGAUAAGGUAAAUAAUUUUACUAAGAGUUAAUGGUCAAAAACACAUCCAAACUAUCACUUUUUGCGAGUUUCAUACCUCAACUAUCAUUGUUCGCUUUACCUACCUAAACUAUCACCCUUGUUGUAUUAUAACUCACCUUGGUGUUGGGUGGUUCAUUUGUGAACAUGUAGGGUAUAGAAUGGUUGUUUAUUAUCUUAAGAUAAUAUGCUUAAGUGAGUGAGAAACUGAUAAAGUCAUAUGGUACAUUAAUUCCGCUUGAUCCUAACAUUCGUAAUUUCUAAAUAUCUCUCGAUUAUCAAAAGGGGUUCCAUCAUCUUUCAUAAGAUGCACAUUGUGAACUAGUAGUGUACUACAGGGUUUGGCAUCCAAUUUUCCAGUUUCUACAAGUAGGUCAAGAAUGUACUUUCUGUGUGAUAGAAAAAUUUCCUUCUUUCUUCUAUUCACUUCUACUUCCAAAAAGUAUUUCAACUCGCCUAUGUCCUUCGUAUGAAACCUAGUAGUGCCAGUUGCAGAUAAUCGAUAGAAAACAAAGUGAUCACUAUGCUCAUUUUCAGCCCACACACCUAAACUACCUCACUAGACUUGCCAAACCAAUCUCAGGGACUCUGGUUUAAGCCAUACAAGGACUUUUGAAAUUUUAUUUUAGUAAAAAUGUAAGUCGUGCAAUCAAAUACAAGAAAUGAUAUAAACAUCAAUUCAAAUUAUUAAUGUCGUCCUCAAGAACUGUAUUGGACACUGACAUGUGUUCCUGUUCUGUCCAAGAAGCCCCUUUUCGCCAUUCUACAUCUACAAGAAAUGAUAUAAAUAUCAAUUCAGAUUAUUAAUUUUGGUUUUGCAUCUUAGGAUAAUUAGGCAAUGCGACAUAUUCAGACUCGAUAACAUUGAUAUCUUCAAUUAAUACAUUACAGUGAUCAUUAAUAUCAUCAGUCGAUUUCCCAAGAAGUGCUUUUGCCAUUUCCUCCAAUAGAUUGUUGUUAUCCUUGUUGAUCGCAAGAGUACUCUCAAAGAUUUUAUCCUCCUCCUUAGUCUAGAAGGAGUUAUUGCAUGUCCGAUCAUUGUUCAUUUUCUUUUAGAUCUACAAGGAAAGCUCAAACAUGAAAAAAGGUAAGCUCUUGAAGAGGAUUCAGAAAUCGGAUGAGUGUCAAUAUAUGACCAAAAACUACUAUAAAUAUCGGGCAUCUAAAAUAAGAUUUUUUGUAACCCCUAACACUUGGUAAUCAGAAACAAUCACAGCAAGGCACAUUCUAUUAAAUCAGUUAUGGAUACUAAGAAAAGUAAUGAGUGACUAGUAAAAGAAACAAACAUGAAGAUACAUGUGGUAUACUACCACAGAAGUCCCCAGAGAUGCGAAAUAUAUUAUGAAAGCAUUUGCAUUCUUUACCUUUUCUAUCGGACGAAAGGUUUUAUAAUAAGAAAGAAGAGUCCAAAGAAGAAAACUAUUUGUCUCAAGAUAAGAAAAAAAAUAUAUCAUUGAGUAUAUAUUUUUGUUUUUGUUAGUGAUGCAAAAAAAAGAUUUAUGGCCUUGUACCACAUAACGGGAAAGAAAUCAUGUCAAUCCAACAUAUGCUAUCAAAAAAAGGGAAAACCCAGAUUCCCUUGUAACACAAUCUAACCACUAAUAACUAGGGAAUGUGCUAAGACAAAAUAUAUCCUGGGCAAGAAAUCAAAAGAAAAGCUAUACAAAUUCUUGUUUUUCCUUUUUGAGAAACUCAAAUCUCUACACAUUAAUUUUCAGCAAUGGAAACCAUAUUAAAGAAGAGUCCCUAGAAAGUGGUGACACAAUUUCUCUCUCCUGAGAUAGAAACAAGAUGAAUCUCACGAUAAUUCAAGUAGGUCAGUAUCACUUUGCAUCUCUUCAGAAUCUACACCAAAAACAAUAUAUAAAUCAACCAUUUGUGAUUGAGUGCACAUUCUCUUUUGUCGUCAUUAUCUUUAUACAUCAUGAAAUAGCAAAUUAUUGAUCAUUUGAAUGGAAGAUUUACAGAACCAACAAGCAAUAACAUACGAAGUGUAAUCCCAUAAGUGAGUCUGGGAGGGUAGUGUGUACCUAGACCUUACCCCUACCUUGAGAGGUAGAGAGGCUAUUUUCGAUACACAUUUGACUCAACGAAAAACAUAUAGAGUGGAUUCGAUAAAGGGAAGGUUUACAAAACCAACAACAACAUCAUAUUCAGUGAAAUCUCACAAGUGAGGUAUGGGAAGGGUAGAGUGCCUAUAAACCUUACCCUACCUUGGGAAGUAGAGAGGUCAUUUCUGGCUGAUCCUUAACUCAAGGAAAAACAUAUCAAAGCAAAUCGAAAAAGGAAAGCUUUAUAGAACCAUGACAUAAAAUCUUAAAGGGAAAGAUAUGAACGAUCUUACUUUUUCCCUUCAAAGAACUAAUCAUAUCUCUAAAAAUUAACUUUCCUAAAUACAAAGCAUGUUAAAGAAGAGUACCAAAAAACGUCAGCACAACUAGCAGAACCUGAUGAUCACAAAGCACAAUCAAAACAAACUUCUGAGUGAAUCAAUCUACAGUUAUAAGUUUUAUCACCUAUGAAAACAAGCAUUCAACCAAAAAGGAAUCAGACACAUAUAUGUACUUAUAACUGAGAUAGAUUCGUCUUUGGUUGAAUGCUUGUUUUCAUAGGUGAUACAACUUAUAACGGUAGAUUGAUUCACUCAGAAGUUUGUUUUGAAUGUGCUUUGUGAUCAUCAGGUUCUGCUAGUUCUGCUAACGUUUUUUGGUACUUUUCUUUAACAUGCUUUGUGUUUAGGAAAGUUAAUUUUUAGAGUUAUGAUUAAUUCUUUGAAGGGAAAAAACAAGAUCUUUCAUGUCUUUCCUUUAAGAUUUUUUGUAAAGCUUUCCUUUUUCGAUAUGUUUUUCCUUGAGUUGAGGGUCAGUUAGAAAUGAACUCUCUGCCUCCCAAGGUGCGGUAAAGGUCUAUAAACACUCUACCCUCCCCAUACCUCACUUGUGGGAUUUCACUGGACAUGAUGUUGUUGUUGGUUUUGUAAAUCUUCCCUUUCUCGAUCCACUUUAUAUGUUUUCCUUGAUCCAAGUGUGAAUUGAAAAUAGCAUUUCUACCUCUCAAGGUAGGGGUAAGGUCUACGUACACUCUACCGUCCCCAGACUCACUUGUGGGAUUACACUUGGUAUGUUGUUGGUUCUGUAAAACUUCCAUUCAAAUGAUUAAUAAUUUGUUAUUUCAUGAUGUAUAAAGAUAAUGACGACACAAGAGAAUGUGCAGUCAACCACAAAUGGUUGAUUUAUAUAUUGUUUUUGCUGUAGAUUCUGAAGAUAUGCAAAGUGAUACUGACCUACUUGAAUAUCAUGAGAUUCAUCUUGUUUUUAUCUCUGGAGAGAAAAAUUGUGUCAACAUUUUCUAGGGACUCUUCUUUAACAUGAUUUCCAUUGUUGAAAAUUAAUGUGUAGUAAUUUGAGUGUUUCUCAAAAAGGAAAAGCAAGAAUUUGUAUAGCUUUCCUUUUGAUUUCUUGUCCUGGAUAUAUUUUGUCUUAACAUUCCCUAGUUUUAAGUGGUUAGUUUGUGUUACAAGGGAAUAUAGGUUUUUUCUUUUGAUAACAUAUGUUGGAUUGACAGGAUUUCUUUUCCAUUAUGUGCCAUAGAUUAUUUUUUUUGCAUCACUAACAAGAACAAAAAUAUAUACUCAAUGAUAUAAUUUUUUCUUAUCUUGAGAUGAAUAGUUUUCUUCUUUGUACUCUUUUUUUGAGAUAAAAUCAUACACAAAAUGGUGGGGUACGCCAGGCCAAUGCAGUAGUGCAACGCAAGAGCCCAGGCAACAAACUACCUUAAUGGACUCUUCCCCUUAAAAAUUAAGUUAAUAUCGUGUGGACCAAUGGCCCACAUAUCAGAUAUUAAACUGAUAAGAACAGAUACUACACUUGAUCUUAGCCAAAAGGCCGAGAAAGGUAUUCUUCUUUCUUAUUAUAAAACCUUCCGUCCGAUAGAAAAGGUAAAGAAUGCAAAUGCUUUCAUAAUAUGCUUCGUAUCUCUGGGGACUUUUGUGGUAGUAUACCACAUGUUUGUUCCUUUUACUAGUCAUUCAUUACUUUUCUUAAUAUCCAUAACUGAUUUAAAAGAAUGUGACUUGCCACGAUUGUUUCUGAUUACUAAGUGUCAGGGGUUACAAAAAAUCUUAUUUUAUAUGCCCGAUAUUUAUAGUAGUUUUUUGUCAUAUAUUAACACUCAUCCAUUUUCUGAAUCCUCUUCAAGAGCUUACCUUUUCUUUUUUUUUUGAUGACAAGGGAAACCCUCAGCUGCUACCCUUUGGGUGCGCACAGGGUAAAACCCCCACUCCUAUGCAAUAGCUCGCAAACCACAUAGGAGAUGUAACCCGCACUAGGCAAGCCCGGUGCGACGAGCUCGACCCAGAAGGCAAACCCCUUGCUUUCGCUGGCAAGGGGUUUCGAACUUGAGACCUCCAACAUGGAAGUCCCAAACCACUGGGCCACCCCGAAGAGUCUUACCUUUUUCAUGUUUGAGCUUCCCUUGUAGAUUGGAAAAUGAACACCGAUCGGACAUGCAAUAGCUCCUUCUGGACUAAGGAAGAGGAUAAAAUCUUUGAGAAUACUCUUGCGACCAACGAGGAUAACAACAAUCUAUUGGAGGAAAUGGCAAAAGCACUUCCUGGGAAAUCACUAUAAUAUCUUAAUUGAAGAUAUCAAUGUCAUCGAGUCUGGAUAUGUCCCAUUACCUAAUUAUCUUGAAAUGCAUAACCAGAAUUCAAAAGCACAUGUAGAAUGGCUAAAAGGGGCAUCUUGGACAGAACAAGAACACAGGUUCUGAUUCCAGUACAGUUCUUGAGGACGACAUUAAUAAUCUGAAUUGAUGUUUAUAUCAUUUCUUGUAAUUGAUUGCACGACUUACAUUUUUACUAAAACGGAAUUUCAAAAUUUCUUAUUUCUCAAUGACCACAUUGGUGUGCUUCUAAAUAUCUCAUAUAUUAUUAUAUUUCUAGGUGAUAGAGUACAUCUUCAUAGGUGUAUUUGGUCUUAACUGCAUUACCAAUAUAAUACAAAAUAUUAAUUCUGAGUUCCACAGUAUUUUCCGAUCAAAUUUGUAGGCUUUUAAUUGUCAAUGGCUAGGCUUGCUUUCAUGGGAAGUAGACUGACUCUUCUUCAUAUACAUCAAACGAUUCAUGAAACUGUAACCACUCCACUUGUUGAUUGCAGGUUAGGUCUCCUCAGAUGAGGCUCUAUAUCUAAAAUGUCAACUCAGCCUGGGGUAUAACAACUGUGUGUGCCCGCUGAACUUAAUUUCUUUGUCAAAAUGAAUGGAAACUUGAGACCAAGAGGCCGAGUUUGAUAGAAAUUUGUUCAACUUACAAAGCCAUGCCAAAUAUAAAUUGUGGCAAAGCAAAUCUAUUUUUGAGUGCUUCAGUUGUCUUGACUCUCUUGCAACUUUCAGUUCAAGAAUCAGACAUCCUGUAUAUUCUAGCGACACCAAAUUUGGAGCAUCAAUCUUCCUUGUGCCACCCGAAUCGUCCUUAAUCUUCAAGACGUUUUGGAAUUGAGAUCUAGAAAUAAGGUGCUCGAGAUUCCAUCACAUGUCCACAUGAGGUGAUAUGAUAUAUCUAAAGAUUUCAGAUUCUAACAUUCAAUAACAUCCAAAUUGUCCGGUGAAGAACUAGAAUAAUAUAAGUGUUCAAGAUUGAUGCUUUAACACCCUGGUUUCUUGUUGUACAAAUAGAAACUGACUUGAUCUUUUGAAGAUUUAGCAGCUCAAUCUUUUUCAACCUUCUGUAACAAUGCUCAAGUGUGAGUUAGUGAUUGACUUCCAUCUCCAACUACUUUCUUAGAAGGCUUUACAUUUGAGUGAGGAGCACUAAAAGUAUUUUUGACCUCCAUCACCUGACAAAAAAGUAACAGCAUCGCAAAAAAGAUCGCGUUGAAGUUGGUUAUAAGUGAAUUUCGUCAUCUGAAUAGCUAAAUAAUCAUUUGGCAAAGGUAGUUCUUAAAUGUUUACUUCUUUUUCCUUCUAUCUUUGUAUACAUUCUUUGUUUCCGGGCAGGGGGUGAAGGACAUAAGAGAAGAUUUUCCUAUAGGUAAGGAAGAGGUGAAAAUGGAGCAUUAGUCACUGAGCCCAUGGACGAAGAUAAUGAUAUCAGUUCCAUUUUUUAUGUUGGGAAAGCACCAACUGCUCAUAGAGGAAUGUCUGGUUAUAUAUGCAGCUGCAGGGGAGGCUCCUGCUUAGUCACAUCCCUUUGCCCCCUCAGCUAAACUCCCGUUGACGAUGAAGACUUUUUUUAUCUGCAUGACUUGUUCACAGAUCAGACGUUCUGAUUUGGUGGAGGAAAAGCUGUUCAUGUUGAUAUUAGUUGCUCACAACCAGAUAGGUUGUUAACGUUGAUACUGCACUUAGGUUUUUGCAGACUUAUUACAUUAUGUUAGACAGUAUUGCUAUUCUUUAACGUAUGUUUAUCAAUUAAAUGAUCAAAAUGGUCCUUAAUGUAUGGGGUUGAACUAUUUUAGUCAUUCAUAUAUACCUCGUAAUCAUAGUAAAAGUGACCCUUUUCCUACAGCCACCACCCUUAAUGUAUCACUUUUUUUGUACAUUAAGGACUACUUCGAUUACAUGGUAUAUAUGGACUAAAAGGAUUACUUUUCUGUACAUUAAGGACUAUUUCUGUUUGAACACCCCCUUCUGACAUAUUAUGUGAACUCCUUGUCUUGUGAAAGUAAUUGCCAAUGUGGUUUUUAGUUGUUGCAGCAAAUAUAUUUCUGGUAAUUCACAGCAAAGUUCACAUUGAAAACAAAACACUGAGAGAGUGUCCAUGAACAUCCCUUUGCCAUCUGAAGCAAGUAAAAGGCGUAUAGAUACCACUAGUUCUAUGAGUUCAACUGAACUUAUUGUCUUCGACUCAACCUAAACAAAAGAAAGAAAAUGCAUGCAUACGUAUAAUAAGAUCACAGUCAUUCUGAACUCAUUAACUGGUUAUUAUUGUCUAACUUUGAAAUAUGCGCUUUGCUAGUUAUCUCAAAUCUUGUCAUCAGUAUCACCUUCAAUUGGAGCUGCUACAUUUAUGUAUAGCUUCUGGCCAUUGAUGCAACUACCAUAAUUGCCGGAUUUGAAGAAAUAAUCUCCAGGUACCAACAUGAAUGCUAUUGCUGGACUAUCUUUGUGCUGCUUUGAAGGAGUGCUGGAAUUGCAUGCAUAAUAGUUGUAUUUUCCAAUCUCCAACAAAUCCUCUGGCUUUUGGAAUCUAAAUUCUACAAAUAAAAUGGUACCAAAACAUAUUAAUGCUUGUAAAAUUAGAUACAAUAUGUAUAUAGGUACACGAAAAAUAACUUUCUAAAAGAUAAAUAAAGUUAUGAACCAUAUUCAAAGGGAGUGAAUUGACACCCCUUGCCAGAAAAACCAACACUUUUAUUGAUUUGAUUUGGUUUAUGAAGUUAUAAAACCGACAUAGCUGGUUUGAUUUGGUAAAUGAAAAAAUCGAACUAAAGAACCAUCUAUAUGUACACCCCUAAAAUUAGUUAGUACCUUUAUAUCCUUUCAAACAUAGCUAAAGAAAGACUUCAGGCCAAAUUAGAUAUGAGGAAAGGAUGAAAUGACAAGAAGAGUGCUUGGUGAGGAGACAACACGAGGAGGAAAUUCUCGCGACUAAGGAAGCACGUCCCUUAAAGGGAAAGCCAGAGAAGGAGCCUGCUGGACAGCCUCACCUUCUGCUCCCAAAUUAGCAUAUCCAAAUUAUGAGAAAGCCUAUAGACGCUGCAAUUGCAGAAUUUGCACCUUGCAAAUGUCUAUUUGUUCAAGUAUGUAAAUAAAUUGCACACACGAUUCAAUUAAUAAUGGAAAAUUGUAUAAAAUAGCAAAUUAUUAAUUCAAAAUAAAUGUUAUAACCAUAGUUUCAAUUAAUUUUGAUUUGUGGCAAACACUUUGCCAUUCGCCUCUCUCCCUUUAAUCUCGCUCGCCGCUCUCCCUCGCCUCUCUCACUUUAUACAAACACAAAUGUAUAAAUUGUGUUGGUGUUUGCAGUGGCGUACGCAUGAUUUUUUCUAAGCGGUGUCACAAUUAAAGAGACAAAAAUGGCUCAAGAAGAAAAUCAAUGAAAGUUUUGUUUUAGACCUCCAAAAAUUUGAGGCCUCUUUUAAUUAGAUAAUAUUUUAAAAUUUUAAAUUAAACCAUUCACAUCUUCAUAUUAUUAAAUAAAGUUUGAUUCAUUAUCUUGUUCUUCCAAGUCAGUUGUAGCUUGAGUCGUUAAAAUUGGCUUUGAACAUUUUUUAUUUUUUUUAGAAUAAUACUCUCCAUUAAAAAUUUAGACUAAUAUGAUGUGAUCUGCCCAAUAAAUAAUUGAGGAUCAAAUAAUAGAGGAUUGCGGACAAUUUUAAUCAAUUUAAUGAAUUCUAAAUUAUUUCAUUGUAACAAGUAGAUGGUAAAAAUUAAAAUUAAUUUUAUGAACAAAUAAAAAUAAAAAUUCAAGCACAUAAUAAAAAAAAUAGAAUAGCAAGAAAAUACUAACCUGAUGUGGAGAUUCGAGAUGUCGAUUAACAAUGAUUGAUGAACAAGAAUGGAAAGAAAAUUGAACAAACUCACACAAGUCAGAAAUAUACAAAUACAAGGAUUUAAGGAGUCAACACUAUUUUUAUUUAACUAUAAUCCUAAUUGAUAAAGGAGAUUUUGAGUUUUAUAUUAAUUCUAAAAAUAAAUAAAAAGUUGUUAGAUUUUGAAUGAAUUAGAGUGGGUGUGUAGGUUUUUAAUGAAGGGGCUAUUGUUUUGAAUUUUAAACAAAAAAUUAAUAAUUUUAAGAAAAGAAAAAAUUAAAACAUGAAUAAAACAAACAAAAAAAUGAAUAAAACAAACAAAAAACAUGAAUAAAAAAGAGAGAAAAAACAACCCCGGGGAAUCGAACCCGUGAUGUUUCGCACAUUAUGUUGUGCCUCUACCAUCUGAGCUAGGCGCAACCUGUUACAAGGGGAGUCCUUUCAAUUGUUUUAACCUUUAGUUGUUUUUUUGUUUGUUUUUUAUAUAGGUAUAUUCGGUAAAAAAAUUCGACGAAGCCGUGUCACUUGACACACCUUAGAUAUGCCUAAAUCCGCCUCUGGGUGUUUGUAUAAAGCGAGAGAAAACUGUAUAUACAAAUUUAAAUACAUGUCUCUUCGUCCUAUACACUUAUAAUUAUAUAAAUAUAAAUCUUCUCCUGCCCAGUUCGCGUUUGUCUUUCUUUCUUUCUCGCUUUAUACAAAAUACAAUGCAUAAUUUGUGUUUGUAUAAAACGAGAGAGAUUUGAUAUACAAAUAUAAUUGACGUUAUUAUAUUUGCAUUUAUGAAAAUAUUUAUCUCACAAAAAUUAGCUAUUAAGUAAAUAAUAAAAAUUAAACUAAUACAAACUUCAACUGACGUUAUUACAAGUCAUAUGAACUUUUCUUUGUCUAAAAUACUGAAAUAUUAAAAAAUAGUUAAUAAGUAAAACAAAAGGGUAAUGUUUAUAUAAUAAUAACUAUUCUGAAGCAAACUUCCUAACAAUCUAAAUCACACAAGUAACAUUGAUAAAUAAAGUUAUUCUUUUGUCUUAAGCAUAAAAAAAAUCGUGACAAUUCUCUAAAUUUUGAAAAAAGAUAUUCAGAAGCAUAUAUCUACAUCACAAGAGAAAUUGUUAACAAAAAUAAAUGAAUUUAGACUACAUCAUGUUAACUUCAUCUAUUGGAACAUUACAUACUAAUGUAUAUAUUAAGCAAAAAAAUAAUUAUUAUAUCAUCAAAAUUAUUUUCCUCAAGUACUCAAGGUUAUGGAAUAUACCCUUUUAGGAUAGAAGGACUUACUUCAUCAGAAUAAUGAUACUUCAUAUUCCGCUAAACUUCGAACUCAUCCAAUGACAAUAAAUCACACAAAAAAAAUUAUAAUGCAAGAAGAAGAGUAGAAGAUUAAAAAAAAUUGUUCAUCAGAAUAGUGGUUGACUAUAUAUUAUCUCUAUUUAUAGUUAACAAAGGAUAGUAUGAACAAAUAUUUUUUGUAUCUUAUCUGAAAAGUCAUGACAUUUCCGAGAAUUCACAACCCUUUGGAAAAGUCACAAUUUAUUGAAAAAGUCACAACUCUUUGGAAAAGCCACAACUCAUCGAAAAAUCACAACCCUUUGAAAAAAGUUACAACUUAUCGGAAAAGUCACAACUCAACAAAAAAGUCACAACCUAAGUUAGGGAUAUUAUAGUAAUUCAACAUUCAAGUUAUGAGUUCAUGUUUUUAAGGUAAUAUAGAUAUAAAAAAGAUAUAGAUAUAGAUAUAGAUAUAAAUAGAUAUAGAUUAAUUAAUUUAUAUAAAAAAAACAAUUACUCCAUCUGUUUCAAAAAGAAUGACCAAAUUUCCUUUUUAGUCUGUUUCAAAAAGAAUAACCAAAUUUCCUUUUUAGUCUGUUUCAAAAAGAAUGAUCCAUUUCCUUUUUUUGUAACACUUUAACUUUCCACGUGAUAUGUUUAAAACCACAAAAUUAAAGGACAUUUUAGUACAUUUAACAUAACUUUGAUUUAGAACCACUAGAUUAAAAAGUCAAACUAGGUCAUGAAGACUACUUGUUAGGUUAAAACUGAAAAAACAAAUUGAAAUAUUGAAGAGAAUGAGUAUUUGUACGACAAAACCAUUGUCUUCUUUCUCUUCCUUCAACUUUCUCACAGUCUCCAUCUUUGAGCUUAACCCAUCUCCCAAAUUAAUCUUCUCUACCCCUCACCGACCAAGAAUGCACUCUUACAGACUCAAAAUCCAGAACAAUUGGCUUUUGUUUAAGCGAAUCGUGAAGACAAGGCCAACCCCAUCUCGCCCGCCAACUGUUCGUUACAAUUCCUCAACCAUCAACUGUCCUUUGGAACACAAUAAUAGUUGGGUUUAUUUGUAAUAACAUGCCCCAUGAAGCCAUUUCAUUCUAUUCUCGAUUGAAACAUGUGGGUUCGUCCGUAUGUGAUCAGUAUACUUAUUCCUCUGUUCUCAAGGCUUGCACGGAGACCAAACGGAUUCUUGUAGGUAAAUCUGUGCAUUGCCACAUUCUGCGUUCUGGGAUUCAUACUAGUAGGAUUUUUAGUAAUUUUUUGUUGAAUAUAUACUCUGCUACUUGUCUUACAUCGGAUAAUGGUACUGAUUGUGAUUUAGUUUAAAGGGUGUUUAGAACUAUGCGUAAAAGAAAUGUUGUUGCAUAGAAUUCUAUUUUUUCAUGGUAUGUGAGAAGGAAGAGGUUUAUGGAAUCAGUGAGGUGUUUUGUUAAGAUGAUGAGAUUAGGCAUUAAGCCAACUGUUGUUAGUUUUAUACUUUUAUUAAUGUUUUUCCUGCUGUAUCAGAAAUAGGGGAUGUUAGAGUUGCUGAUGUUCUUUAUGGAUUGCUUGCGAAAUUGGGUAAUGCAUGUGUAAAUGACUUGUUUGUUGUUAGUGCUGCCAUUGUUAUGUAUGCUGAGCUUGGUUGCGUUGAUUUGGUGACCAGAAUAUUUGAGAAUACUUGUGAAAGAAAUACAGAGAUCUGGAACUCUAUGAUUAGCGGGUACAUUUAGAACAAUUUUCCUUUAAAAGCUGUUGAUCUCUUUCUUUAAGCUGUAGAAGCAGAGGAUGCUGUUACUACUGAUGAUGUGACAUUUGUAUCCGCUCUUAUGGCAACUUCACAAUUGCAGCAUUUGGAGUUUGCCCAAUAGCUACAUGCAUGUCUGAUAAAGAAAUGCAGGGAUUCACAGGUUAUUUCGCUUAAUGCUAUGAUAGCCACAUAUUCUAGGUGUAACCAUGUUCUACUCUUUGCAGCAGAAUGGUUUAGAACCAGAUGCUGUUACCUUUGUAGCAGUCCUGUCUACUUUCAGCUACACCGGAUUGGCUGAUACAGGCCUUAAAUAUUUGAGCUGAUGGGUGAAGAAUACGGGAUUCAGCCAUCAGCAGAGCACUAUGCUUGUGUGGUUGACAUGUUAGGGAGAGUUGGACGGUUGGAUGAAGCUCAUAAUUUUUCUUAACAUUUGGGUGUUGAGGGUAAUGUCUUGGGAAGAUGGGGAUCACUCCUUGCAGCCUGCAGAGUGCAUAUAAAUUUUGAAUUGGGGAAAAUUGUUUCCAGUAAGCUGCUUGAAUUAGAGGGGAGUGAUGGAAUUUAUGGUUAUCAUAUUCUGCUUUCAAAUAUAUAUGCAGAGGUAGGAAACUGGCAGUCUGUCGAUAGCGUCAGAAGAGGAAUGCGCAAAAUGAGAUUGUCACAGGAGGUUGGCUGUAGUUGGAUUGAUACUUCUGGAUAUCCACACUGUUUUGUAUCUAAAGAUAAGAAACAUCCUCAGUACUGCAUGAUAUAUGAUAUGUUGGCAUAUUUAACCAUCAAUAUGUAGGAUGCUGGCUAUAAGCCUAAACUUGAACUAAUAGAAGAGUGGAUCUAUGGGCUAGAAGAAUAAAAAGCUAUUAGUUCUCCCACUAUGUACCUUUGUAUUCAUGAUAUUUUGGACAGGAUUUUGCUAGAGUUCAUAUGAUUGUAGUUUAUCAAUGACCAGCUGCCUUUGAAAUUCGAGGUAAUUAAGUUGUGUUUUAGCUUUUUUUAGUUUAGUUUUUUCUUCUGAAUUAUGCUUUUUUACUUUGUAAAGAUACUCAGAAGUAGGAUAUUCAGUUAGUGAAAUGUAUGUAUAUUUCUUUAUUAAUACAGAUCAGUCAAGAAUAUCCAUUUUACCUUUUUGGUGGGAAACGAGGAGUCCCAGAUCGCAAAAGAAGGGUCUUAUCCAAAAUGACAACUUCUAUCAAGCUGUCUGAUUGACUGAAGCACAUGUAAAUUAGGUGACCAGUUCUUUCCUUUGAAUAACUUAUACUUGUCCUGCAGGUCGACUUUUAAACUGUUGUAUUAAGGAUUUUCUUUGAUAUAGUGUUUGCAAGUUCAUGCGUGUUUUUAUAUUGGAGCCAAAUGGCAUUAAUAACACUUGUUAAGGUUGGUCCAGAUAACUAUUAAUAUGUCUGCUAAGGUUGGUUCAAUUCGUGGGAUAUUAUAGUUCAUCUUUCAAUAGCAUGAUUUCACUAUAUAGACCCUUUUGUUGUGUAUUUUUCAUAUUGGCUUAUCAAACCUCUAAGAAGUACUUCAGAAAUCAUUAAGAACCCCUAAUAGUUUGGCAACCUCCUCAAUUUCCCAAUCAUUCAAUGCGCUCCUAAAAAGUAGAUUCCAACCGUGUUGACUCCAGGCUUGUUCCACAGUGUCAUUGUUCUGCAUACUCAAUGUAUAUAGAAGAGGGAAUAGGUUUCUCAAAGUGUCUUCCUCUAUCUAUCUUUCAUUCAAGAACUCUGUCUUCCGUCGAUCCCCAACACUAAUACAUAUGUUGUUUUUGAAAUGUGGCCAUAGUCUUCUAAUGGUCUUCCAAACACUGCAUCCAAAUGUGCCCAUCACCUCUUCAGUUGUCCAUUGGUUAAAUAAACCAUACUUUCCUGAUAUAAAUCUCUUCUAUAAGGCUCUAUAUUCUAUACAGAAUGUCCAUAGCCACUUUUGGAGUAAACUACUGUUUUAGAGACUUAGGUCCUUCAACCCUAGCCUCCUUGGUUUUUGCUAAGUGUGAGAGUAUCCCACUUCACCAAGUUGUAGCCUUCCCUUUCUUUGUUGCCUUGCCAUAGAAAAGAUCUCCUGAGCCUAUUUAUUUUCUUCUCAAUGUUCUUGGGGACUGGAAAUAAACUCGUCAUAUAAGAAGGUGAUUCAUCUAAUAUUGACUUGAUGAGGGUCACCCUGCCACCUAGAGACAAAUACUAGCUUCUUCACCGGGCUUAUUUCGUCCCACAUCUAUCCAACACCACAUUGAAGACUUCCAACUCUUUGUUCUUAGCACCCAAAGGUAGUUCCAAAUAUUUUGUUGGUUGUGCAUCUACCUAGCAACUCAAUGUCUCAACUAGCCCAAGAAAAUUGUCAACUUGCUUGAUAGGGAGGAAAUGACUCUUCAGCCAAUUGACAUGGAGGCUUGAAAUGCUCUACUAAAUAGUGAGUAUAGCUCUUAUGUGUCUAAUUUGUGCCUCCUUUACCUCAUAGAAUAUAAGAGCAUCAUCAACAUAGAAUAAGUGUGUGAUCUCCAGCUCCUUCCCUCUCCCAGCAAGUGCACUAAAUCCUCUCCCACCCAUUUAGUCUUUGACUUCCGGAACAUGUGAUUCAACCCCUUCAUGGCUAUUAAGAAUAGGAAUAGGGACAUAGGAUCUCCCUGUCUAAGACUUUUCUGAGAUUGGAAGAAUCCUUCAGUGUUUCCAUUUAUGAGGAGGGAAAACUUCACACUUGAAAUGCAGUUAUUGAUCUAGUCAAUCCACUUGCUACCAAAUCCCAUGUCCUUUAGUAUUUUUAGAAGGAAAUUCCAAUUAACAUGUUCAUAGGUUUUCUCAGUGUCUAGCUUGCACAGAAUCCUAGGUUUUUUCUGCCUUACCUUGGAGUUGACCAUUUCAUUAGCCAACAAUGCUGCAUCCAUUAUUUGCCUAUAUCUUAAAAAAGCCAUUUGGUGUUCAUCAACCAAUUUCACUAUCACUUUCUUUAUUCUCUCAGUUAGCAACUUGGAGAUGAUUUUAUAGACUACUCCUAUCAAACUGAUAGGUCUAAAGUCUUUUAGCUCAAUUGAAUCAGGUUUCUUUGGGAUUGAAGCGAUCAAUGUAGCAUUAAAUGAUUUCUCAAACGCACUCCUCUGAUGGAAAUUUUUUGUACUCAACAUUCAGUUCUCUUUCAAAAUAUCCCAACAUUUCUUAAAGAAAAUCCAUAGUGAAGUCAUCAGGGUCUGGUGCUUUGUCCCCGUCAUACUGGUUGAUGAUCAAUAACACUUCCUCUUCUGUAAAUGGUCUUUGUAACCAUUCAUUUUCUUCUAUAGACUUUUGGACAUCCUACAAAAUGAAAAGAGGGUCUCCAGGAUUCAAGUUCUGAGUAGAGUCUGGCAUUUAAUACAUAUGACAUGGUAAUAGAGGAGGUUGCUUUAAUGGUUCCAAAUCCCACAAUGUUAUGUGUUGAGCCAUCAACUACCAUUACUUGAGAGGGUUCUUUGUGGGAUCGAAAGGUAGAAAAUAUAUUAGGAUUACGUGUCAUGUAAUUACUAGUACCUGUAUCAAUCACCCAGUUGUUCAAAGAGGAGAUCGCAUAUGCUUUUCUUGAAUCAACAAGGGUAGUAAUUGAAAUGAAUUCUUUAAGGGAUUCUUGAUACUAAGAGGACUCGCAAACUCAUUCGCCGAAACCAAAAUUGUCUUACCCUCAUAAUUUAUAGCCAUAUUUCCUCCUUUCUAAUUGUUUGAGUUAUAGUUUCAACUCAAAAUAUUAUUAUAGGAGAGGCUAACAAACACAAACAAUACCAACAUAUACAAUCCAGUAUUGAAAAGGCAAUUUGUUAAUAUCAAGACAUGCAAAAUUUUAUGGGAUUAAGUCCAUACAAAAUUUGAACGAAGUUGUACAGUUAAGACAUAUUGACCCAAGUGAACAUUUUGGGUUAAUACAACCGGAUUAAUUAUUUUAGUCAAGAUUGCGUGACUUAAGUCAAAUCCAACUACAUUGGGCUAGGUUGGGCUUCUACAAAAUGGUCCACCCACAUGUUUUAAGCCCAAGGGUCCAUUAGGAUUACUUGGAGACUACCGUAAAACCUUCCAUUCAUGCCUUUAUAAAAUAAAAAGGCUACAUAUUCUCUUUGGAGGCAUCUUGAAAAUUCUAUAACAUGUUGGAAGAUUCUAAGAUGGGAUUGGACAAAGACAAGAGUGUGCUCAACUGGAACAACGACCAACAAAGACCAAUUACUUAGAUAACGAUUCUUACCCUUCUGCUUUAAGGCUUUAAGGCGAACUGUAUGGAGGUAGGAAAGAAAGACGUCUCACCUUCUCUAGUGUUAGUGAGAGCAAUUUGAGUAUCCUUCAUGCACCUCCUUUUGUAGAUAGAAUCUUAAUGAGUGGAAACAAGCAACCUUACUAAGAAAGGUUCUUGUUGAGUAAGGCCGACUUUCAAGCCAACCCUUGGUAUAGGUUGUGCACUUGAGCGCAUGAUUGGUCCAUUGAAGAUUGUACAAGCCUAAUGCAGGCAUGCAUACAUCUUAUAUCAUGAUCAUGCCAAUGCCAUCAACAAGCCAAUUUCAUUUAUUUGUUCUAUUAAGUACUUCUUUCACGUCAUUAGCUUUAAAAAAUUGUCUCCCUUUACUGGUUCACCUCGAUGAAAAACUUAAGAAUUGCCUAGCUUCAAAAGGUCAUCAAUAAUAUUUGAUUCCAAGAAAUGAGCAACCAAUUCACCCAACAAAAUAAUUGUAGUCGAUAGUCAAAUACCACAUUUAUUUGACAUCAAGAACAAGCAUCCACAAAAAACUAUUAAUUCAAUAUUGAGCAAAAUUCAGCAAAUCGCGACAACACCAAACUGAAACCAGAUCUAAAUCACUGAAGGAGAGACUAGCAUACUAGAACAUUAAUUGUCCCGAACAACAUGUUUUAGCCCUAGUCUAUUUCCAUUAUUAUGUAUUGCCAUCUUGGAAGGGGCUCUUGACGUGAUAUUCAAUUAGAGGAAAUACGUGUAAGAACUGUUUGUCUUCUCAACAAGUUACUCAAAAAUAUCUCUCCAGAACUGAAGCUUUUAUGAAGACCAAAGACACCUAUGAGAUAUAUGAAGAUGUACUCUAUCCACCUAAAAAUAUAAUAAGAUAUGAGAUGUGCACACCAACGUGGUUAUUGAGAAAUAAGAAAUUUUGAAAUUCCAUUUUAGUAAAAAUGUAAGUCGUUCAAUCAAAUACAAAAAAUGACAUAAACAUCAAUUUACAUUAUUAAUGUCAUCCUCAAGAACUGUACUGGACACUAACUUGUGUUCCUGUUCUGUCCAAGAAGCCCCUUUUCGCCAUUCUACAUCUACAAAAAAUGAUAUAAACAUCAAUUCAAAGUAUUAAUUCUGGUUUUGCAUUUCAGGAUAAUUAGAUAAUGUACAUAUCUAGACUCGAUGACAUUGAUAUCUUCAAUUAAUACAUUACAAUGAUCCUUAAUAUCAUCCGUCAAUUUCCCAAGAAGUGCUUUUGCCAUUUCCUUCAAUAGAUUGUUGUUAUCCUUGUUGAUCGCAAGAGUAUUCUCAAAGAUUUUAUUCUCCUCCUUAGUCCAGAAGGAGUUAUUGCACGUUCGAUCAUUGUUCAUUUUCUUUUAGAUCUACACGGAAAGCUCAAACAUGAAAAAGGUAAGCUCUUCAAGAGGAUUCAUAAAAUGGAUGAAUGUAAAUAUAUGACCAAAAUUUAUCAUAAAUAUCGGGCAUCUAAAAUAAGAUUUUUUGUAACCCCUGACACUUAGAAAUUAGAAACAAUCGCAGCAACACACAAUCUUCUAAAUCAGUUAUGGAUACUAAGAGAGACUGUUUCUGAGACACUUGGCUCAAGUUACUUUUCUUAGUAUCCAUAACUGAUUUAAAAGAAUGUGUGUUGCUGCGAUUGUUUUUGAUUACUAAGUGAUAGAGGUUACAAAAAAUCUUAUUUUAGAUGCCCGAUAUUUAUGGUAGUUUUGAUCAUAUAUUGACACUCCUCCGUUUUCUUAAUCCUCUUGAAGAGCUUAUCUUUUUCAUGUUAAAGCUUUCGUUGUUGAUCUAAAAAAAAAUGAACACCGAUCGGACAUGCAAUAACUCCUUCUAGACUAAGGAGGAGGAUAAAAUCUUUGAGAAUACUCUUGCGACCAACGAGGGUAACAACAAUCUAUUGGAGAAAAUGACCAAAGCACUUCUUGGGAAAUCGGCGGAUGAUAUUAAGGAUCACUAUAAUAUCUUAAUUGAAGAUACCAAUGCCAUCGAGUCUGGAUAUGUCCCCAUUACCUAAUUAUCCUGAAAUAGCAAAACCAGAAUUCAAAAGCAUAUGUAGAAUGGUGAAAUGGGGGCUUCUUGGACCAAAUAGGAACACAUGUCAGUUUGCAGUACAGUUCUUGAGGACGACAUAAAUAAUCUGAAUUGAUGAUCAUUUCUUGUAUUUGAUUGCACGUCGUAUAUUUUUACUAAAACGGAAUUUCAAAAUUUCUUAUUUCUCAAUGACCACGUUGGUGUGCUUCUAAACAUCUCAUAUAUUAUUAUAUUUCUAGGUGGAUAGAGUACAUCUUCAUAGGUGUAUUUGGUCUUAACUGCAUCACCAAUAUAAUACAAAGUAUUAAUUCCAACUUCUGAGUUCCACAAUAUUUUCAGAUUAAAUAUGUAGGUUUUUACUUUUUAAAAUUGUCAAUGGUUAGGCUUGCUUUCAUGAGAAGUGGAUGAGUAUUUGUAAGACCAAAUAUUUAUAAGAUCAUAAUUUUGAAGUGGAUGAGUAUUUGUAACACCAAACCAUUGUCUUCUUCAACUUUCUCACAGGCUCCAUCUUUGAGCUUAACCCAUCUCCCAAAUUAAUCUUCCCUACUCCUCACCGACCAACAAUGCACUUUCACAGAGCCAAAACCCAGAACAAUUCGCUUUCGUUUAACCCCAUCUCGCCCGCCAACUGUUCGAUACAAUUCCUCAACCAACAAUUGUCCUUUGGAACACAAUUAUCAUUGGGUUUAUCUGUAAUAACAUGCCCCAUGAAGCAAUUUCAUUCUAUUCUCGAUUGAAACAUGUGGGUUCAUCCGUAUGUGAUCAGUAUACUUAUUCCUCUGUUAUCAAGGCUUGCGUGGAGACCAAACGGAUUCUUGUAGGUAAUGCUGUGCAUUUGCCACAUUCUGAGUUCUGGGAUUCGUCCUAGUAGGAUUGUUAGUAAUUCUUUGUUGAAUAUGUACUCUGCUACUUGUCUUACAUUGGAUAAUGGUUCUGAUUGUGAUUGUGAUUUUGUUGAAAGGGUGUUCAGAACUAUGCGUAAAAGAAAUGUUGUUGCAUGGAAUACUAUUUUUUCAUGGUAUGUGAAAAGGAAGAGGUUUUCGGAAGCAGUGAGGUGUUUUGUUAUGAUGAUGAGAUUAGGCAUUAAGCCAACUGUUGUUAGUUUUACUAAUGUUUUUCCUGCUGUAUCAGAAACAGGGGAUGUUAGAGUUGCUGAUUUUCUUUAUGGAUUUCUUGUGAAAUUGGGUAAUGCAUAUGUAAAUGACCUGUUUGUUGUUAGUGCUGCCAUUGUUAUGUAAGCUGAGCUUGGCUGUGUUGAUUUGGCGACCAGAAUAUUUGAGAAUACUUGUGAAACAAAUACAGAGAUCUGGAACUCUAUGAUUAGCGGGUACAUUCAGAACAAUUUUCCUUUUAAAGCAGUUGAUCUCUUUCUUGAAGCUGUAGAAGCAGAGGAUGCUGUUUCUACUGAUGAUGUGACAUUUGUAUCUGCUCUUAUGGCAGCUUCACAGUUGCAGCAUUUGGAGUUUGCCCAACAGCUACAUGCAUGUCUGAUAAUGAAAUGCAGGGUUUCACAGGUUAUUUCGCUUAAUGCUGUGAGCCACAUAUUCUAGGUGUAACCAUAUUGGCAAUUCACUUUAAGUUUUUAAUGGAAUGAAGGAAAGAUAUAUUGUGUCAUGGAACACCGUGGUGUCUGCUUUGGUACAGAACGAACUGGAUAACGAGGCUUUGAUGCUUGUAUAUGAGAUGAAAAAGCUAUGGGUCGCAAUUGAUGAUAUAACAAUUACCAUCCUGCUUUCUGCGGCAUCAAAUAUUAGGGACAGGGAAAUUGGUAAACAGACCCAUGCUUAUCUUCUGAGGCACAAUAUUCAAUUUGAAGGGAUGGAGAGUUACCUGAUAGUCAUGUAUGCCAAAUCUAAUAUGAUUAGAGAAGAACGAGCAAUAUUCCAGUCGAACUUCACAUAUGAUAAAGAUCAAGUCACGUGGAAUGCUAUGAUUGCUGGAAACACUCAGAAUGGAUUAAUUGAACAAUCCUUUGUUGUCUUCAAGGAGAUGCUUGAGCAGAAUGUGAAGCCAAAUGCUGUGACCUUAGCAUCAAUCCUCCCAUCAUGCAGCCAGUCAGGAAGUAUAGCAAUAGGCAAGCAGCUACAUUGUUUUGCAAUUCGCUAAUUGUUUGAGAACAAUGUUUAUGUUAUUUCUGCUUUGGUAGACAUGUAUUCAAAAUCAGGAAUCAUUGAUUAUGCUGAAAGUGUUUUCUAAAAUCUCUUGAGAAGAACUCUGUGACAUAUACAAAUAUGAGUUUGGGAUAUGGCCUUCAUGGGAUGCGUAGGAAGCUCUAAAACUGUUCUACUCUUUGCGGCAGAAUGGUUUAGAACCAGAUGCUGUUACCUUUGUAGCAGUCCUGUCUACUUGCAGCUACACCAGAUUGGUUGAUUCAGGCCUUCAAUUAUUUGAGCUGAUGGGUGAAGAAUAAGGGAUUCAGCCGUCAGCAGAGCACUAUGCUUGUGUGGUUGACAUGUUAGGAGAGUUGGACGGUUGGAUGAAGCUCAUAAUUUUGCUAAACAGUUGGGUGUUGAGGGUAAUAACUUGGGAAUAUGGGGAUCACUCCUUGCAGCCUGCAGAGUGCAUAGAAAUUUUGAAUUGGGGAAAAUUGUUUCCAGUAUGCUGCUUGAAUUAGAGGGGAGUGAUGGAAUUUCUGGUUAUCAUGUUCUGCUUUCAAAUAUAUAUAUGCAGAGGAAGGAAACUGGCAGUCUGUAGAUAACGUCAGAAGAGGAAUGCGCAAAAUGGAAUUCUCAAAGGAGGUUGGGUGUAGUUGGAUUGAUACUUCUGGAUAUCCACACUGUUUUGUNNNNNNNNNNNNNNNNNNNNNNNNNNNNNNNNNNNNNNNNNNNNNNNNNNNNNNNNNNNNNNNNNNNNNNNNNNNNNNNNNNNNNNNNNNNNNNNNNNNNNNNNNNNNNNNNNNNNNNNNNNNNNNNNNNNNNNNNNNNNNNNNNNNNNNNNNNNNNNNNNNNNNNNNNNCCUAAACUUGAACUAAUAGAAGAGUGGAUCUAUGGGCUAGAAGAAUAAAAAACUAUUAGUUCUCCCACUAUGUUGUUGUUCUCGGACUAUGUAGCUUUGUAUUCAUGAUAUUUUUGGACAGGAUUUUGCUAGAGUUAAUAUGAUCGUAGUUUAUCAAUGACCAGCUGCCUUUGAAAUUCGAGGUAAUUAAGUUGUGUUUUAGCUUUUUUUAGUUUAGUUUUUUCUUCUGAAUUAUGCUUUUUUACUUUGUAAAGAUACUCAGAAGUAGGAUAUUCAGUUAGUGAAAUGUAUGCAUAUUUCUUUAUUAAUACAGAGCAAUCAAGAAUAUCCAUUUUACCUUUUGGUGGGAAAGGAGGAGUCCCAGGUAGCAAAAGAAUGGUCUUAUCCAAGGCGACAACUUCUAUCAUGCUGUCAGAUUGAGUGAAGCACAUUUAAAUUAGGUGACCAGUUCUUUCCUUUGAAUAACUUAUACUUGUUCUGCAGGUCGACUUUUAAACUAUUGUAUUAAGGAUAUUUGAUUUAGUGUUUGCAAGUUCAUGAGUGUUCUUAUAUUGGAGCCAAAUGGCAUUAAUAACACUUGUUAAGGUUGGUCCGGAUAACUAUUAAUAUGUCUGCUAAGGUUGGUUCAGCUAAUCAUAGUAUGUGACUAUCAAUGGAACUGGCAUAAGUGUAGUUUUUCAUUUCUGAAAAUGGAUCUGAAGCUACAACAAAUCAUAUAGAUAAGAUAAUCUCUGAAAUUUUCCUUAUUAGGCUGUCGGCUUAAAUUAUUGGACAUUGACAAACAAAAACUUUCUAUAAAUUAGGUCUAGUUCUAGUGAUUAGUAGGAAGUUUUAUUGAGUAAAUAUGCAAGUUUCGAGUUCAUAUUAUCUUUACUUGGCUUAUUAGGUUCCACAUGUUUGCUUACAAGCUGCUUGUGUCCAUUUAAUGUGAAUUAUUGCCCUUCAGUUUUCACAAGGGACAAAGGGCGUAACGGCAUCUUAUUUUGGAGUUUUUGUCUUUUUGGAUAAGGUAAAUAAUUUUACUAAGAGUUAAUGGUCAAAAACACAUCCAAACUAUCACUUUUUGCGAGUUUCAUACCUCAACUAUCAUUGUUCGCUUUACCUACCUAAACUAUCACCCUUGUUGUAUUAUAACUCACCUUGGUGUUGGGUGGUUCAUUUGUGAACAUGGAGGGUAUAGAAUGGUUGUUUAUUAUCUUAAGAUAAUAUGCUUAAGUGAGUGAGAAACUGAUAAAGUCAUAUGGUACAUUAAUUCCGCUUGAUCCUAACAUUCGUAAUUUCUAAAUAUCUCUCGAUUAUCAAAAGGGGUUCCAUCAUCUUUCAUAAGAUGCACAUUGUGAACUAGUAGUGUACUACAGGGUUUGGCAUCCAAUUUUCCAGUUUCUACAAGUAGGUCAAGAAUGUACUUUCUGUGUGAUAGAAAAAUUUCCUUCUUUCUUCUAUUCACUUCUACUUCCAAAAAGUAUUUCAACUCGCCUAUGUCCUUCGUAUGAAACCUAGUAGGCAAGAAAGACUUAAAAGGGAAGAGAUCCCCUCACAAAAAAAAGUCAUGAGUGACUAGUAAAAGGAUCAAACAUGAAGGUACAUGUGGUAUACUACCACAAAAGUCCACAGAGAUACGAAGCAUAUUAUGAAAGCAUUUGCAUUCUUUACCUUUUCUAUCGGACGGAAGGUUUUAUAAUUAUAAUAAGAAAGAAGACAACAAAGAAGAAAACUAUUUGUCUCAAGAUAAGAAAAAAUUAUAUCAUUGAGUAUAUAUUUUUAUUCUUGUUAGUGAUGCAAAAAAAAGAUCUAUGGCCUUGUACCACAUAACGGGAAAGAAAUUCUAUUAAUCCAACAUAUGUUAUCUAAAGAAAAGGAAAAACCCAGAUUCCCUUGUAACACGAUCUAACCACUUAUAACUAGGGAAUGUGCUAAGUCAAAAUAUAUCCUGGACAAGAAAUCAAAAGGAAGCUAUAAUGAUGAUUCGAGAAAGGGAAGAUUUACAAAACCAACAACAACAUCAUAUCCACUGAAAUCCCACAAGUGAGGUAUGGGGAGGGUAGAGUGUCUAUAGACCUUACCAUACCUUGGGAAGUAGAGAGGUCAUUUCUGACUGACCCUCAACUCAAGGAAAAGCAUAUCAAAGCAGAUCGAAAAAGGAAAGCAGAACCAUGACAAAAAAUCUCAAAGGGAAAGACAUGAAAAAUCUUACUUUUUCCCUUCAAAUAACUAAUCAUAUCUCUAAAAAUUAACUUUCCUAAAUACAAAGCAUGUUAAAGAAUAGUACCAAAAAACAUCAGCACAACUAGCAGAACCUGAUGAUCACAAAGCACAAUCAAAGCAAACUUCUGAGUGGAUCAAUCUACAGUUAUAAAUUGUAUCACCUAUGAAAACAAGCAUUCAACCAAAAAGGAAUCACACAUAUAUAUACUUACAACUGUAGAUUGAUUCAUUUUUAGUUGAAUGUUUGUUUUCAUAGGUGAUACAACUUAUAACUGUAGAUUGAUUCACUCAGAAGAUUGUUUUGACUGUGUUUUGUGAUCAUCAGAUUUUGCUAGUUGUGCUAACGUUUUUGGGUACUCUUUUUUAACAUGCUUUGUGUUUAGUAAAGUUAAUUUUUAGAGUUAUGAUUAGUUUUUUGAAGGAAAAAAACAAGAUCUUUCAUGACUUUCCCUUUAAGAUUUUUUGUCAUGGUUAUGUAAAACUUUCCUUUUUUGAUGUGCUUUUCCUUGAGUUAAGGGUCAAUUAGAAAUGACCUCUCUGCCUCCCAUGGUAUGGUAAAGGUCUAUAAACACUCUACCCUCCCCAUACCUCACUUAUGGGAUUUCACUGGAUAUGAUGUUGUUGGUUUUGUAAUCUUCCCUUUCUCGAUCCGCUUUAUAUGUUUUCCUUGAGCCAAGUGUGUCUCAGAAAUAGCCUUUCUACCUCUCAAGGUAGGGAUAAGGUCUACGUACACUCUACCGUCCCCAGACUCACCUGUGGGAUUACACUUGGUAUUUUGUUGUUUGUUGGUUUUGUAAAUCUUCCAUUCAAAUGAUCAAUAAUUUGCUAUUUCAUGAUGUAUAAAGGUAAUGACGACACAAGAGAAUGUACAGUCAAUCACACAUGGUUGAUUUAUAUAUUGUUUUUGGUGUAGAUAUGCAAAGUGAUACUGACAUACUUGAAUAUCAUGAGAUUCAUUUUGUUUCUAUCUCAGGAGAGAAACAUUGUGUCAACAUUUUCUAGGGACUCUUCUUUAACAUGGUUUCCAUUGUUGAAAAUUAAUGUGUAGAGAUUUGAGUGUUUUUCAAAAAGGAAAAACAAGAAUUUGUAUAACUUUCCUUUUGAUUUUUUUGUCCAAAAUAUAUUGUCUUAGCACAUUCCCUAGUUUUAAGUGGUUAGAUUGUGUUACAAGGGAAUGGAAACUUGAGACAUGGAGGCCGAGUUUGAUAAAAAAUUGUUCAAUUUACAAAGCCAUGCCAAAUCUAAAUUGUGGCAAAGCAAAUCUAUUUUUGAGUGCUUCAGUUGUCUCGAGUCUCUUGCAACUUUCAGUUCAAGAAUCAGACAUCCUGUAUAUUCUAGCGACACCAAAUUUGGAGCAUCAAUCUUCCUUGUGCCACCCGAAUCGUCCUUAAUCUUCAAGACGUUUUGGAAUUGAGAUCUAGAAAUAAGGUGCUCGAGAUUCCAUCACAUGUCCACAUGAGGUGAUAUGAUAUAUCUAAAGAUUUCAGAUUCUAACAUUCAAUAACAUCCAAAUUGUCCGGUGAAGAACUAGAAUAAUAUAAGUGUUCAAGAUUGAUGCUUUAACACCCUGGUUUCUUGUUGUACAAAUAGAAACUGACUUGAUCUUUUGAAGAUUUAGCAGCUCAAUCUUUUUCAACCUUCUGUAACAAUGCUCAAGUGUGAGUUAGUGAUCGACUUCCAUCUCCAACAACUUUCUUAGAAGGCUUUACAUUUGAGUGAGGAGCACUAAAAGUAUUUUUGACCUCCAUCACCUGACAAAAAAGUACUACCAUCGCAAGAAAAGAUCGCGUUGAAGUGGUUAUAAGCGAAUUUCGUCAUCUGAAUAGCAGAAUAAUCAUUUGGCAAUGGUAGUUCUUAAAUGUUCACAUCUUUUCCCUUCUAUCUUUGUAUACAUUCUUUGUUUCCGGGCAGGGGGUGAAGGACAUAAGAGAAGAUUUUCCUAUAGGUAAGGAAGAGGUGAAAAAGGAGCAUUAGUCACUGAGCCCAUGGACGAAGAUAAUGAUACCAGUUCCAUUUUUUAUGUUGGGAAAGCACCAACUGCUUAUAGAGGAAUGUCCGGUUAUAUAUGCAGCUGCAGGGGCGGCUCCUGCUUAGUCACCUCCCUUUGCCCCCUCAGCUAAUCUCCCGUUGACGAUGAAGACAUUUUUUAUCUGCAUGACUUGUUCACAAAUCAGAUGUUCUGAUUUGAUGGAGGAGAAGCUGUUAAUGUUGAUAUUUGUUGCUCACAACCAGAUAGGUUGUAAACAUUGAUACUGCACUUGGUUUUUUGUAGACUUAUUACAUAAUGUUAGACAGUAUUACUCUUCUUUAACAUCUGUUUAUCAAUUAAAUGGUCCUUAAUGUAUGGGGUUGGACUAAUUUAGUCAUUCAUAUACACCUCGUAAUCGUAGAAAAAGUGACCCUUUUCCUACCACCACCACCCUUAAUGUAUCACUUAUUCAUACAUUAAGGACUAUUUCGAUUACAUGGUAUAUAUGGACUAAAAGGAUCACUUUUCUGU
This 41406-nucleotide long non-coding RNA is filed under the name Solanum tuberosum (potato). Its description in RNAcentral is "long non-coding RNA (STUB_LNC010543)". Lineage: Eukaryota; Viridiplantae; Streptophyta; Magnoliopsida; Solanales; Solanaceae. The record is from RNAcentral.